UACGUAGGGGGCAAGCGUUGUCCGGAUUUAUUGGGCGUAAAGAGCGUGUAGGCGGCCACACAGGUCAGCUGUGAAAACUCGAGGCUCAACCUCGAGACGUCGGUUGAAACCGUAUGGCUAGAGUCCGGAAGAGGAGAGUGGAAUUCCCGGUGUAGCGGUGAAAUGCGCAGAUAUCGGGAAGAACACCCGUAGCGAAGGCGGCACUCUGGGCCGAUACUGACACUGAGGAGCGAAAGCGUGGGGAGCGAACAGG
Molecule: ribosomal RNA, 253 nt
Filed under: uncultured bacterium
Lineage: Bacteria
Description: partial 16S ribosomal RNA
Rfam family: Bacterial small subunit ribosomal RNA
Source: RNAcentral